UACGUAGGGUGCAAGCGUUGUCCGGAAUUACUGGGCGUAAAGAGCUCGUAGGUGGUUUGUCACGUCGUCUGUGAAAUUCCACAGCUUAACUGUGGGCGUGCAGGCGAUACGGGCUGACUUGAGUACUGUAGGGGUAACUGGAAUUCCUGGUGUAGCGGUGAAAUGCGCAGAUAUCAGGAGGAACACCGAUGGCGAAGGCAGGUUACUGGGCAGUCACUGACGCUGAGGAGCGAAAGCA
This 238-nucleotide ribosomal RNA is filed under the name uncultured Actinomycetales bacterium. RNAcentral's name for it is "partial 16S ribosomal RNA". It matches the Rfam family "Bacterial small subunit ribosomal RNA", at positions 524 to 761 of the family's 1533-position model. Lineage: Bacteria; Bacillati; Actinomycetota; Actinomycetes; Actinomycetales. The record is from RNAcentral.